UACGGGGGGGGCAAGCGUUGUUCGGAAUUACUGGGCGUAAAGGGCGCGUAGGCAGCCUACUAAGUCGGACGUGAAAUCCCUCGGCUCAACCGAGGAACUGCGUCCGAUACUGGCAGGCUGGAAUCCGGGAGAGGGAUGUGGAAUUCCAGGUGUAGCGGUGAAAUGCGUAGAUAUCUGGAGGAACACCGGUGGCGAAGGCGGCAUCCUGGACCGGUAUUGACGCUGAGGCGCGAAAGCUAGGGGAGCAAACGGG
RNAcentral lists this ribosomal RNA (253 nucleotides) under uncultured bacterium. RNAcentral's name for it is "partial 16S ribosomal RNA". It matches the Rfam family "Bacterial small subunit ribosomal RNA", at positions 524 to 776 of the family's 1533-position model. The record is from RNAcentral.